AUACACCCGUACGCAUCUGCUCCUCUCCUCGAUCCUCACCUUUACCCAGGCCGAUCUAUUCCCCCUCGCCGCCGCCGCCGCACCUCAGCCCGCUCGCCGCCCCCGUCGCCGCCUCCGCGGUCGCACCUCAGCCCGCUCGCCGCCCCCGUCGCAACCCAACCCUUCCUCCCCUCCAAUGGAUGCCGCCCCAACCACCUCAUCCAAUAGGAAGCCCCAGUUCGGCAGCCUCUGUUCCCGCCCUUCAGCGGCCACCUCGCCACCCCUCCAAUGCCCAGCACGUCCUUAUCCAACGCCGCCCUUCAGCGCCCACCCAUCCGCCUGCCCGCCCGGCAACGCCCGAUUGAAUUGUUGCUGCCAAGACCUGCCUCAAUGUGGUUUGCAUCAUUGCGGCGACGACAUCGUCGAUCUUCGACUCCGGCGGCUACAUCCAGAAGGACUACCACAAUUCUCGUGGCUGGUUGGUUUGGUGCUGAUGCUCCUUACGUCCAUGUCAUUGUAGAUGGCUGUGGAAAUCUGGAAAAUUUGCCUUUUCUAUCAAGAUGAGAAUCAACAACAUAAAGUUCUAGAAGGAUUCAUGGACAGAAAAGAUAUCUCCUUUUAUGAGUUAAUCAAAUUGAUUGAAGAAGUUGGCUUCUCGCCGGCAUAUGGUUUCUUGUACUACAGGAAGAAAUACCCGCGUGGCAGAUGCUAUUCUGACAUUGCUUCUGACCAUGAAAUACUUUGUGUUCAGUCUUCCCCUGAACAGCAAUGCUAUACACACGAUGCCACGCAGACGAUUUGUGGACGAUGCUAAAUUCAAGCCAUGUGAUGCACAGCAGCAGCACUGUUCUACGGUUGGAUUUGACUGUCGGCUACACAUCGUGUGUGCAGUUUUGUCUGCACAGCAAUUUCGUCCCCUGAAAGUUAGCAUAGGAAUACACAAUGUUUCUUCAGAAUGACAGAGCACCAAAUCGAGGCAGCAGGUUGCCAUCGAAUUCCACAGAAUAAAACUGACUUGUGGAUGUGAUUAAUCACUUACCAAAGUACAAGUUCAUUCUCUGAUGAAAAAGGUCAGUGUUUGGGGCGCACUGCGUAGCAAGGAUAUGUUGUACGCUAUAUAGCUCUUCUGUGGGCUGUGAGAGGUUGGUGUUCUCAUGCCUGCUUGGUCGGAACCUUUUCUUUUGAGUCGAUUGAUGGACAAUGGGCAUGAGGGCAUCUCUGCACUAACUACGAUGUAUGUGUACUCCACUACAUACAGAUAGCUCGCUCGUCGUAUCUCGACAGAAGAAGAACAACUUUGAUGGAUGGAGAUGGAUUUCUUUCCUGUUGUUGCAAUUGUAUGUGCCUUGCCGACUAAACUAUCUUCUUUCUUAUUUACUGUCAGGUAGCUCUUUCAAAGAUAGCUCGCUCGUCGUAUCUCGACAGAAGAAGAACAACUUUGAUCGAUGGAGAUGGAUUUCUUUCCUGUUGGUGCGAUUCAGGGAAGCUAUUUGUGGUGUAAUAUGCAGCUAAAGGUAUUCCAGCAUGAGCUUCCAUGCACAACAUCAGUGCUUAAAAUAACUUGAUUCUCUGCUCACAACCAACUGCAGCAAGAAAUAAUUUCACAGCCACAGAUCGCGCCAAAGCAUAGCCAGCCUUGGUCCAAGGAGAUAGAGAAGUACUGCUCGUUCGCAAGUUGGAGCCGUCCAUGAGCUCACUGCUCUUGGUCGCUCAUAGCAAAGAACUGCAUGUUGGCUGGGAUCUUGCCCAUGUAAUAUCUUCAGUACUGUAAUGGCAGAUUCUACUUUUUUUUGCAAUUUUUUUGGGUGUUUAGGCCAUGCUUAUUGGGCCAAGAGGUGGACCCCGUAUAAUGCCGACCUGCUAAAUACGUUUACAGUUUG
Non-coding RNA from Triticum urartu, 1859 nucleotides. Lineage: Eukaryota; Viridiplantae; Streptophyta; Magnoliopsida; Poales; Poaceae. The record is from RefSeq and is a predicted model, not a curated record.